Molecule: ribosomal RNA, 495 nt
Filed under: uncultured bacterium
Lineage: Bacteria
Description: partial 16S ribosomal RNA
Rfam family: Bacterial small subunit ribosomal RNA
Source: RNAcentral
GACGAACGCUGGCGGCGUGCCUAAUACAUGCAAGUAGAACGCUGAAGGAGGAGCUUGCUUCUCUGGAUGAGUUGCGAACGGGUGAGUAACGCGUAGGUAACCUGCCUGGUAGCGGGGGAUAACUAUUGGAAACGAUAGCUAAUACCGCAUAAGAGUAGAUGUUGCAUGACAUUUGCUUAAAAGGUGCAAUUGCAUCACUACCAGAUGGACCUGCGUUGUAUUAGCUGGUUGGUGGGGUAACGGCUUACCAAGGCGACGAUACAUAGCCGACCUGAGAGGGUGAGCUGCCACACUGGGACUGGGACACGGCCCAGACUACUACGGGAGGCAGCAGUAGGGAAUCUUCGGCAAUGGACGGAAGUCUGACCGAGCAACGCCGCGUGAGUGAAGAAGGUUUUCGGAUCGUGAAGCUCUGUUGUAAGAGAAGAACGGGUGUGAGGGUGGAAAGGUCACACUGUGACGGUAUCUUACAAGAAAGGGACGGCUAACUACGUG